Molecule: ribosomal RNA, 468 nt
Filed under: uncultured bacterium
Lineage: Bacteria
Description: partial 16S ribosomal RNA
Rfam family: Bacterial small subunit ribosomal RNA
Source: RNAcentral
GACGAACGCUGGCGGCGUGCUUAACACAUGCAAGUCGAACGGAAAGGCCCUGCUUUUGUGGGGUGCUCGAGUGGCGAACGGGUGAGUAACACGUGAGUAACCUGCCCUUGACUUUGGGAUAACUUCAGGAAACUGGGGCUAAUACCGGAUAGGAGCUCCUGCUGCAUGGUGGGGGUUGGAAAGUUUCGGCGGUUGGGGAUGGACUCGAGGCUUAUCAGCUUGUUGGUGGGGUAGUGGCUUACCAAGGCUUUGACGGGUAGCCGGCCUGGGAGGGUGACCGGCCACAUUGGGACUGAGAUACGGCCCAGACUCCUACGGGAGGCAGCAGUGGGGAAUAUUGCACAAUGGGCGGAAGCCUGAUGCAGCAACGCCGCGUGCGGGAUGACGGCCUUCGGGUUGUAAACCGCUUUCGCCUGUGACGAAGCGUGAGUGACGGUAAUGGGUAAAGAAGCACCGGCUAACUACGUG